ACUCUCUCUUUUUUAUUGUUCUCCAUCUCCUAUCUUAAGUAUCGGAGGAUCUUCACCGGAGAAUACCCCAGUGAGAAUUUUUUACAGGUACUCGAAUGUAGCUCUAGCGGCAGCACUAAUUUAGCCACCUUCAUCUCGGCUAUCCGACCUUAGGCGUAGAGAUCGGGAGCAACAAGUGAUGUAUAACCUAUGGAAAUCAUAAUUUUGAAUAUCAUUGUAUUC
RNAcentral lists this long non-coding RNA (222 nucleotides) under Elaeis guineensis (African oil palm). Its description in RNAcentral is "long non-coding RNA (EGUI_LNC003740)". The record is from RNAcentral. Lineage: Eukaryota; Viridiplantae; Streptophyta; Magnoliopsida; Arecales; Arecaceae.